This 585-nucleotide ribosomal RNA is filed under the name Triticum aestivum (bread wheat). RNAcentral's name for it is "partial small subunit ribosomal RNA". Lineage: Eukaryota; Viridiplantae; Streptophyta; Magnoliopsida; Poales; Poaceae. The record is from RNAcentral.
AUGGCUGGCGAGGACAUCGACCCCAAGUCCAGUACUGCUGCUGCUGCUGUCACGUAUGUGUUCUUCUUCUUUCUGUUAGAUGUCCUGCCACAGUUUCUCGUACUAGUACUUGCCCUAGAUGUGUUAGGUUCUACUCCAUACAUGCAACUAGCUCUACAGUCUGCUCUAGAUAUGCUAGGCUACAGUUCAUAUAUGCAGAUGUUAUUUACCUUCUCUCUUUCAGAACACAUGACUUGUUUUAUCUCUACUAUAUUAGUCAUGCUUUACCUAGUAUUUCUGUUAAUAAAAUCAUUUGGUAAAUUGCUCAUAUUUCCAACAAUCCAAAAACCUUAUUAUAGGCAAUUUACCCCAAGUGGUUUUGCUUCUUCCAUGAGACCUCCUAUGUUUGAGGGUAUCCACUAUAAGAGGUGGCGCGUGAGAGCAGUUUUAUGGAUUCAAACCAUGAGUUGCUAUGACGCCACGCUUGGCAGGCCUAAAGGGGAGUUUGAUGCCCAACAGGAACAAGCUUUUCAGAAAAUGGAUACUCUGUUUAAGACUGCUCUCUUGAGUGUUCUUGGUGAGAACAUAGUUGAUGCUUAUACGUGA